This 513-nucleotide ribosomal RNA is filed under the name uncultured bacterium. RNAcentral's name for it is "partial 16S ribosomal RNA". It matches the Rfam family "Bacterial small subunit ribosomal RNA", at positions 28 to 523 of the family's 1533-position model. The record is from RNAcentral.
GAUGAACGCUGGCGGCGUGCCUAAUACAUGCAAGUCGAGCGAACAGAUGAGGAGCUUGCUCCUUUGACGUUAGCGGCGGACGGGUGAGUAACACGUGGAUAACCUACCUAUAAGACUGUGAUAACUUCGGGAAACCGGAGCUAAUACCGGAUAACAUAUUGAACCGCAUGGUUCAAUAGUGAAAGGCGGCUUUGCUGUCACUUAUAGAUGGAUCCGCGCCGUAUUAGCUAGUUGGUAAGGUAACGGCUUACCAAGGCAACGAUACGUAGCGGACCUGGGAGGGUGAUCGGCCACACUGGAACUGCGACACGGUCCAGACUCCUACGGGAGGCAGCAGUAGGGAAUCUUCCGCAAUGGGCGAAAGCCUGACGGAGCAACGCCGCGUGAGUGAUGAAGGUCUUCGGAUCGUAAAACUCUGUUAUCAGGGAAGAACAAAUGUGUAAGUAACUGUGCACAUCUUGACGGUACCUGAUCAGAAAGCCACGGCUAACUACGUGCCAGCCGCCGCCGUAA